Molecule: ribosomal RNA, 504 nt
Filed under: Triticum aestivum (bread wheat)
Lineage: Eukaryota; Viridiplantae; Streptophyta; Magnoliopsida; Poales; Poaceae
Description: partial small subunit ribosomal RNA
Source: RNAcentral
AUGGGAAAUCCUGUUGAUGCUCCUAAACCUUAUCAAUGGAUAUGGAAAUCAUGCUCUUUACCCAAGCAAAAAUUCUUCUUCUGGCUUCUGUUACAAGACAGAUUAAACACCAGAGACCUACUCAACAGGAAGAAUUUCUACAUUGAGACUAGUAAGUGUGAAUGAUGUGAUGAUGAACCUAAUGAACACCUAACGCACCUCUUUUUUAGCUGUGAUUUCAGCCAAAUCUUCUGGAUGAACAUUGGUUACCAAUGGAACACUGAUCAUAACCUUAUGAAAAUGCUCUUGGAGGGAAGGAAACAAGAUACCCAUGGCUGCUUUAAAGAAUGUUUGAUUGCUGGAUGCUGGAGUCUCUGGAAACACAGAAAUAGCAUUAUUUUUUAUCACAAGGUCAAGAAUAUGGCAUAUUGCAUUGCCACUUUCAAGGAGCACUUCAGCAUGAUUAUAAAGAAGGCAAAACCUGGAUUGAAAGAGGGCAUGCAAAGUUGGCUAGAUCAUUUGUAG